UGGGGAAUUUUGGACAAUGGGCGCAAGCCUGAUCCAGCAAUGCCGCGCGCAGGAUGAAGGCCUUCGGGUUGUAAACUGCUUUUGUACGGAACGAAACGGCUCUGUCUAAUACAUGGGGCUAAUGACGGUACCGUAAGAAUAAGCACCGGCUAACUACGUGCCAGCAGCCGCGGUAAUACGUAGGGUGCGAGCGUUAAUCGGAAUUACUGGGCGUUAAGCGUGCGCAGGCGGUUUUGUAAGACAGAUGUGAAAUCCCCGGGCUCAACCUGGGAACUGCAUUAGUGACUGCAUAGCUGGAGUGCAGCAGAGGGGGAUGGAAUUCCGCGUGUAGCGGUGAGAUGCGUAGAUAUGCGGAGGAACACCGAUGGCGAAGGCAAUCCCCUGGAACUGCACUGACGCGCAUGCACGAAAGCGUGGGGAGCAAACA
This 427-nucleotide ribosomal RNA is filed under the name uncultured bacterium. Its description in RNAcentral is "bacterial SSU rRNA". It matches the Rfam family "Bacterial small subunit ribosomal RNA", at positions 355 to 774 of the family's 1533-position model. The record is from RNAcentral.